Molecule: long non-coding RNA, 535 nt
Filed under: Olea europaea subsp. europaea
Lineage: Eukaryota; Viridiplantae; Streptophyta; Magnoliopsida; Lamiales; Oleaceae
Source: RNAcentral
CACCGCCAUGCAAACCCCUCCUCAGAACAUUCUCGUACUUCUCCGAAAAAUGAAACCAAAUGAUACCAUAAAACAAAAUCGAAAAUAAAAUAUGAUGUUUCUUGCGAGAUUCAAGAAGAUGAAUUCAGCAACUUCUUGCUGGGAUUUUCUUGAACAUAAACUCCACUUUGUGUAGCAGAAACUCUCUUUGUCUAUACAUAUAUGUAUAUGAUACGUCUCUUUCAAGGGUCUCUAUCUGCUCCUUUUUCUCUCCUUCUCUACGAAGAAAACUAUCAGAUUAUUCUGAAGCGGUUUGCUUUUUAUCUUCUGUAGUAAUCAGAUUUGGAACUCAUCCCUUUGUACAGAAAUCCUUGUCCUUGCCAAGCUGUCUCAAGGCCUCCAAUUUUGAGGGUUACAAAGAAAAUAAAAAUUAACUCAAAUAAAAUGAGAAUUAUGCAUUAAUAAAAACAGAUAAAGUAUGAUCAUUUGUAGGAAACGACUAGAACCAGUGACUCCUACUCCUCUCUCUCUCUCUCUCUAACCGCCUGUGUUUUUC